This is a long non-coding RNA of Phragmites australis (common reed), 1410 nucleotides long. RefSeq lists it as uncharacterized. Lineage: Eukaryota; Viridiplantae; Streptophyta; Magnoliopsida; Poales; Poaceae. The transcript is spliced from 4 exons. The record is from RefSeq and is a predicted model, not a curated record.
UGCUGUGCAGGCUGAGGAGCUCCCGGUACUAUGACUUCUCAACAUGACCCUACUAGUGGCCCUUGUGGACAGGUGGCAUCUCGAGAUGAACACCCUCCACUUUCGUGCUGCGAGAUGGCGCUCACUCUUCAAGACGUGUCCCUGCUACCGGCCUACCUUGCGUGGGUGCCACUGUUGGUGUGAGGGACGUGGGCGUUGCAUGGCGUGAUGAGUUGCUUGCCUGCUUCUCUACCGUUCACUGGAGGGACAACCUAGCCCCCUUCAGGCCUUUUCUGAGGUCGAAGAAGCACGACUUGACUAAGUCGUUUCUUCAUUGACAAGCAACCAACACCCACCAUUGGCAGGCGAUGACGAUGUCUCCCACCACUUAUAGGCCUACUUGUUGUGGUUGUUUGGGUGGAUCAUGUUCAUUGAGACCCAUAGCAACAUAGCCUUGUGGAGCAUGAUCCCCUACACCACAAAGAUUGUGGAUGCCAGACCAGGGAGGUCCUGCAGUACAACUGGGCUUCAGCUAGGCUGACUGCAAUGUACUGGGGCCUGUGCGACACCUGCACGAAGACCGGUGUGAAUGCGAUCCUCACCAAGUGUCCGCUACUGCUGCAGUUGUGUUUGUACGAGCGGUUCACCAUCGGUAGGCCCGUUGUCGACCACAACGCGUAUGAGCUUCAUGCCGACGUUGUCAAUGGCUCGACCAUGGGCUCUUUGUGGUGCCAACGUCAGUGGCCUUGACAUUCCCAAGGUGAGUUGAGCACGACGUUCGAUCAGAUCUACCGGUAGGUACAUAAGGUGAUCAAGUCAUUCAGCUGUAGGUCAUCCUUGAGUGUUUUGAUGGGACCACGAGCACUGGCUCCUCUCCCGCCACACCCCUCGGCCAUGUUCAUGUCCCCGCCACAGCCACUAGUAUGUUUGAUCUUCAUCGUCGAGUCCUCGAGGCCAUCUUUCACCUCGUCUGUUGACCCGGACUGUGGUGGCGGCUCAGCGAGGUAGUCUUUCAUCGGCGACGAUGACUCGCACUAUAAUGCGCCUUGGUGAUGCACUCUUUCUUCAGCGUCGGUGACCCCUACUACGGUGUCAUAGCAUCGAGGACAACGUUCGUUGGUGUCGGUGACUACUUCUACUCCAGCAGUGGGUCUACGUAGCCUUUCUUACCUCAGAUUGAGGAUCUCGGGGAUGUAGAUGCGCAGGCGAGCUACACAGAGCAGCUCAUUGGGGACAGUGCUCAGGUCCCUGAGUACAACUACAUCUUUGGCUAAGGGGACGAGCUCACCACGUCGUAGCUACAUGGCACACCACUUACAAGGACACAAGGCACCCAAGACGACUAUGUGACUGAUCGUUCCACUGAACACGCUAACGUACUCAAUGCACCACAUGAGAGCGCAGAGGCGUAGGGUUCUGAGGGGGGUGAGA